Hyaena hyaena (striped hyena) is the source of this 73-nucleotide non-coding RNA. The record is from the annotation of a RefSeq genome assembly. Lineage: Eukaryota; Metazoa; Chordata; Mammalia; Carnivora; Hyaenidae.
GUCUGGCUGGCUCAGUUGGUAGAGUGUAGGACUCUCGAUCCCAAGGUUGUGAGUUCAAGACCCACGUUGGGCC